This 257-nucleotide ribosomal RNA is filed under the name uncultured bacterium. RNAcentral's name for it is "partial 16S ribosomal RNA". It matches the Rfam family "Bacterial small subunit ribosomal RNA", at positions 524 to 777 of the family's 1533-position model. The record is from RNAcentral.
AACGUAGGACACAAGCGUUUAUCCGGAGUUACUGGGCGUAAAGGGCGUGUAGGCGGAUCGGUAAGUCUACUCUGAAAGCUCCUGGCUAAACUGGGAGAGGCGAGUGGAGACUGUCGGUCUAGAGUGAGGAAGAGGAAAGUGGAAUUCCGCGUGUAGUGGUGAAAUGCGUAGAGAUGCGGAGGAACACCAGUGGCGAAAGCGGCUUUCUGGUCCUUAACUGACGCUGAGGCGGCGGAAAGCGUGGGGAGCAAACAGGG